Molecule: ribosomal RNA, 440 nt
Filed under: uncultured bacterium
Lineage: Bacteria
Description: partial 16S ribosomal RNA
Rfam family: Bacterial small subunit ribosomal RNA
Source: RNAcentral
ACUACGGGAGGCAGCAGUGGGGAAUAUUGCACAAUGGGGGAAACCCUGAUGCAGCGACGCCGCGUGAGUGAAGAAGUAUCUCGGUACGUAAAGCUCUAUCAGCAGGGAAGAAAAUGACGGUACCUGACUAAGAAGCCCCGGCUAACUACGUGCCAGCAGCCGCGGUAAUACGUAGGGGGCAAGCGUUAUCCGGAUUUACUGGGUGUAAAGGGAGCGUAGACGGCAGCACAAGUCUGGAGUGAAAUCCCCGGGCUUAACCCCGGAACUGCUUUGGAAACUGUGCGGCUGGAGUGCAGGAGGGGUAAGCGGAAUGCCUAGUGUAGCGGUGAAAUGCGUAGAUAUUAGGAGGAACACCGGUGGCGAAGGCGGCUUACUGGACUGUAACUGACGUUGAGGCUCGAAAGCGUGGGGAGCAAACAGGAUUAGAUACCCUAGUAGUC